GCUUAGGUAGUUUAUCUAGAAUUUCAAUUUGUGGGAUUGAGGGUAUUUAUUAUAAUCUUGAGCU
This 64-nucleotide transfer RNA is filed under the name Antilochus coquebertii. RNAcentral describes it as "tRNA-His". Lineage: Eukaryota; Metazoa; Arthropoda; Insecta; Hemiptera; Pyrrhocoridae. The record is from RNAcentral.